This 327-nucleotide ribosomal RNA is filed under the name uncultured eukaryote. RNAcentral's name for it is "partial 18S ribosomal RNA". It matches the Rfam family "Eukaryotic small subunit ribosomal RNA", at positions 1470 to 1795 of the family's 1831-position model. The record is from RNAcentral.
CCCUUAGAUGUCCUGGGCCGCACGCGCGUUACACUGAUGCAUUCAACGAGCUUAUAACCUUGGCCGAGAGGCCUGGGCAAUCUUGUUAACGUGUAUCGUGAUAGGGAUAGAUUAUUGAAAUUAUUAAUCUUGAACGAGGAAUUCCUAGUAAACGCAGAUCAUCAAUCUGCAUUGAUUACGUCCCUGCCCUUUGUACACACCGCCCGUCGCACCUACCGAUUGGAUGAUCCGGUGAAGCCUCGGGAUUGUGGUUCUUGCCGCUUUAUUGUGGCGUGACCGCGAGAACUUGUCUAAACCUUAUCAUCUAGAGGAAGGUGAAGUCGUAAC